GGCUUAGUCCCUGGAAGCUCUGGUUGCUUGGCAUUGUUGUUCAUAUGGGGUCUCAAGCCCCUUCAAGCUCUUCCAGUCCUUCCUCUGAUUCCUUCAAUGGGGGUCCCGUUCUCAGUUCAGUGGUUUGCUGCUGGCAUUCGCCUAUGUAUUUGCUGUAUUCUGGCUGUGUCUCAGGAGAGAUCUACAUCCAGUUCCUGUCGGCCUGCACUUCUUUGCUUCAUCCAUCUUGUCUAAUUGGGUGGCUGUAUAUGUAUGGGCCACAUGUGGGGCAGGCUCUGAAUGGGUGUUCCUUCUGCCUCUGUUUUAAUCUUUGCCUCCUUAUCCCCUGCCAAGGGUAUUCUUGUUCCCCUUUAAAGAAGGAGUGAAGCAUUCACAUUUUGAUCAUCCAUCUUGAGUUUCAUGUGUUCUGUGCAUCUAGGGCAAUUCAAGCAUUUGGGCUAAUAGCCACUUAUCAAUGAGUGCAUACCAUGUGUGUCUUUCUGUGAUUGGGUUACCUCACUCAGGAUGCCAGUUCCCUCCAUUUGCCUAUGAAUUUCAUAAAGUCAUUGUUUUUGAUAGCUGAGUAAUAUUCCAUUGUGUAGAUGUACCACAUUUUCUGUAUCCAUUCCUCUGUUGAAGGGCAUCUGGGUUCUUUCCAGCUUCUGGCUAUUAUAAAUAAAGCUGCUAUGAACAUAGUGGAGCACGAAACACAGAUAUUCUUACCACUUCAUAACACUAGCAAAAUUACAGUUAUGAAGUAGCAAAGAAAUAAUUGUUUUUUUAUUUUUUCCCCAGUAUUGUUUUUGUUCUACUCUAUGUCUCUGGGCUAUUAGUUUUUCAAUCAAAAAUUUGUGCCACUGAAUUCUAGGAUGAAUGAAUCUCCUUGUCUGUUAUACAGAAAGAUGAAAAAAUUGUCAGAAUAAGAUAAUAUUGGGGGCAUGUCCUCAACUCUAAAAAUAAAAUAUUAGAAACCUACUGUGAUUCAGUUUUGUUUGUUCCAGUUAUGAUUUUCCUAUCAUCUCUACACUUGAAACAACUAUAACUACUACUUGACUGUUGAAUUACAGAUGGAGACUUCAUCUUUUAAACUGGCAAAGAAAUAAUUUUAUGGUUGGGGGUCACCACAGCAUGAGGAACUGUAUUAAAGGGUUGCAGCAUUAGGAAGGGUGAGAACCCCUGCUCUGCAGUCAACGAUUGCUUUUAGCUGUCAGGUCUUUUUACCUUUCAUUAACCUGGGACAUUACUAGAACUUUUCUUUGUCAUAUACAAUGGCCUUUCUCCAAGCCUGGAGUUCUCUUAAUUUUUUCUCAUUGAGAGUUUGUCUAAUAUUUCCUUAUGGUUUGGGGUUAGGCCUUGUGACCGUUUGCAUAUGCUUGGCCCAGGGAGUGGCACUAUUAGAAGGUGUGGCCUUGUUGGAGGAAGUGUGUCACUGUGGGGGUGGGCUUGGAGACCCUCUUCCUAGCUGCCUGAGGAUGCUCAGUCUGUUCCUGGCUUCCUUCAGGUGAAGAUGUAGGAGUCUCAGCUCCUCCUGCACCAGGCCUGCCUGGAUGCUGCCAUGUUCCCGCCUUGAUGAUAAUGGACUGAACCUCUGAACCUCCCAUCAUCAAAGGAAGUCAGAGCAGGUCCACAGGCAGAAGCCAUGGAGAAAUGCUGCCUGCAGACGUGCUCCCCGCCCUUUACUCAGCCUGCUCUCUUAUGCAACUCAGGACCACCUGCCCAGGAACGGCACCGCCCCCACACACACUCACAACAAUCAUCAAUCAAGAAAAUGCUCCAGAGACACGCCCACAGCUAACCUGGGAGAGCCAAUUCCUCAGUAGAAGAUUUCUCUUCCCAGUGACUCCAAGGAUUGUAAAAGAAAGUUCCAAGUUUUUGAAGUGGCAGGCAUUUAUGACCAACAAGGCAACUUUAUUACUCCUGAAAUAAAUAACCAACUUGAGAGCUUGCCAAAACAUCCACAAACUACUUCUUUGAAUCCUCACUGCUUUGGAAAUGAAGAACCACGCCUGUCUUUAUGUAAGACCCAUGGGUUGUGGUUUUCUGAGCUCCAUGACUACACAGGGCAGGCCAAAGAAGCCGAGUUACAGCCUAGAGAGUGAUUAGAACUGACUGAGGAAACAGGAACCCAACUCUAAUUAAAGAAAUUGCUAAUUA
Molecule: non-coding RNA, 2133 nt
Organism: Rattus norvegicus (Norway rat)
Lineage: Eukaryota; Metazoa; Chordata; Mammalia; Rodentia; Muridae
Source: RefSeq, a predicted model, not a curated record